UUUCAAAGCUGGUGCGUUAGUGGCUCCUGUUGUCAGGUCUUAAUUUCACACCUUUAACACCCGCGGUGGCCAUGUGCUGAGUGACGGUUGCAGUUGUAAGAGCCAGUGAUGUAAAUGGCAGUGGGAUGUUGAGUUCACUUGGCUUCAGCGCUGGGGAGGAGCAGGGCCGUGCGACUCACAGGACGCUAUGGGAACUGCUGAAUUCAUGUGAAAUGCCCUUUGCAAACCCAGUAAGAACAUUUCACUGAUUCAGAGCCUUCUUACACUUUCAGUUGGAAUGACCUGGGGGGAAGUCAGUUUUUAUGGUUUAAUUCAAUACCUUUUCUCCAUCUAUUUAGUAUGAGAUCAUCACAACAAACAGCUUUCAGCACAAUAAAAAGUUCAGUUUCAAACUGGAGUCGAUGGAAGUUGAUCUCUCUCCUUCUCCGAUUAGAAAAUCCGAGAUAGCAGCCGGCCCUGCGAGAAUCUCCGUGAUUAGUCCACCUCAAGAUGGACGAAUGGGCAGCGUCUCCUCCCGGGGCCCCGAGCAUCCCGGCCUGACGCCGAGUCAGAGGAGCAUGGGAAAGCCUCUCAGGAUUCCACCUCUGCAAAUUCCCUACAAGGGACCCCCACUAACGCCAACACCACAGUUACCAGGGAGAGCAGGAAGAGGGGACUCUCCAAGCUUCGGGGGCUCCCAGGCCAGGCUGCCCCCCCGGCCGCCCAUCAGCAUCUCCAGCCUGCUGCAGAGGCAGUGUUUAGUGUGAAGUUUUGAAGUCAUUUCAAAGACAAAGUUGAUGUGUUUUUACCACGACUUCCAUGCCUCCUGCGGGACCUGCUCACCUUGGGGCAGUGACACCUGAAAGAUGAGCACCCAGCCACCCGCUCUGCCCACUUCCAGUCCUCCAGCCUUCGUGCCCACCAGCAUGUGUACGUUAGACAGCCAGUGCGACUGUACUUUCCCUCUUGUUGAAAUAAUUAAGUAAGGUAGUCGCAUAAAGUAUUUUUCUGAUUA
RNAcentral lists this small RNA (994 nucleotides) under Pan troglodytes (chimpanzee). RNAcentral's name for it is "retained intron". The record is from RNAcentral. Lineage: Eukaryota; Metazoa; Chordata; Mammalia; Primates; Hominidae.